GGGGAAAUGGCCACGGGGACAGACCAGGUGGUGGGACUCGGCCUCGUCGCCGUUAGCCUGAUCAUCUUCACCUACUACACCGCCUGGGUGAUUCUCUUGGUAUGUCAUUCUCCCCGUCCGCUUCUCACCUUCCCCGAGCCCUGGCACCGCCCGAGCAACUACUAUAUAGGCUCUAGGCACGGCGCUGGCUUCAUUGCCUGCCUCAUCUCUUGAAAUCUCCAGAACAACUCUAUGAGGAAGAUGCCAGUGGUACCGCAUUUUAUAGAUGAGAUAGCUGAGGCUAGGGGAGAAGGAUCUAGCCCAAGAUUGCAUCCUUAGCCGCUACACUUAAAACUCUGUUUCCAGCUUGCUUUGACUUUUGGGGGAGUUCUGUUCCUUCUGGGUUAGCCUGCUGACUUUAGGCAUGGCGAGCGCCAGUGAUAUUUGUGAAGGCCUUUAGGAUAUUUUUUUCUUGUGGGAAAACUUGUUGGUUAUUGCCUAAGAAGUGCAGUGUGUCUGAAAGUGCAGAACUUGGUAUCCUUUAGAGAAAAAAUAUUAGUGAAGAAGCCCUGGAGACCCAGGUUGGGAGUCAGUUGAGGAUUCCUCAUGUACCAUUUGCUAGGCUGUGAGGUGCCUUAGGGCAGGUCUCUUGUGCCCUGUUCUCUUGUCCCCACCACCAACCUAUGGCAGGCACCAAAGCAAGUGCCCGGUAAAUACCAAUAAGAAAUUAAGGAAGGAAACAAACCACGACACCCAAAUGCCAUAAUCUUAAAGAAAAGCAAAUGCAGUCCCAAUGCUCUGAAUGGGUCAGCCCCUUAGAUGGAGGAGGUGGGACGUUUGGGCUUGGGGGCUGGGCAAGGCAAGCAAGGCUCACCAGAGCUCUGCCCUCGACGCCAGCCAUUCAUCGACAGUCAGCAUGUCAUCCACAAGUAUUUCCUGCCCCGAGCCUAUGCUGUCGCCAUCCCACUGGCUGCAGGCCUCCUGCUGCUCCUGUUUGUGGGACUGUUCAUCUCCUACGUGAUGCUGAAGAGCAAGAGAGUGCCCAAGAAGGCUCAGUGAAGGUCCCGCGGGGAUGAGGCUGCCAGCCCCUUCUCUGCUUCCCCUCCAGCACAGGGACCAAGUUGGGGAGCCUGCAGAACCUGUCCAGGCACAGUGGCUCCUCAAGCCUGCCUGUCCUGCAGAGUCCCCAUGGCAUGGAGUUUACCCCUGACUGACUGGAGCCCCCUCCCCGACUCCCACUUCCAGAAGCUAGGAGGGAGGGAUACCUGGAAGACUCCGGUCACCCCCUUCUUGCUCAGGGCCUAAAAGUUGCUGGUCCUCCCAACCUCACUCUCAGACUCCCUGCCACCUUUUUCCCUGGGUUCUGCCAUCUUGCCUCACUUCCCCUCCUGUCACUUGCUGACGUUGGACUUAGCAGGUUCCAAGGCCGCAUGUGUGACCUCUCUGACCUCUCUCCACAAAUCCUGCUCCUCCACCAAGGCAGCUUUCCUUAGCCUGACACAGCUCCAGACCCCACAAAGCCUUCUGGACCUGGAAAGCCUGGAGAAGGACUGACAGACCCCAGGACCAGCCCUGGGGCUCAGGGCAGCCACCCUGGGCCGCUGACCGACCGACUGCUCCUCAUGGAGGCCCAGCCCCAAAGCCCCAGGGCUGGCCUGUUUGGGACAGCUGACCAAUAAACACUGAUUGUGUGUU
RNAcentral lists this small RNA (1674 nucleotides) under Pongo abelii (Sumatran orangutan). RNAcentral describes it as "retained intron". Lineage: Eukaryota; Metazoa; Chordata; Mammalia; Primates; Hominidae. The record is from RNAcentral.